CAAGUCGAACGCGAAAGUGGAGCAAUCCAUGAGUAGAGUGGCAAACGGGUGAGUAACACGUGGGUGACCUGCCUUCGAGUGGGGGAUAACGUCCCGAAAGGGACGCUAAUACCGCAUGACAUCCUGCCCUUGAACGGGUGGAGAUCAAAGCUGGGGAUCGCAAGACCUAGCGCUUGGAGAGGGGCCCGCGUCCGAUUAGCUAGUUGGUGAGGUAACGGCUCACCAAGGCAACGAUCGGUAUCCGGCCUGAGAGGGCGGACGGACACACUGGGACUGAGACACGGCCCAGACUCCUACGGGAGGCAGCAGUGGGGAAUUGUUCGCAAUGGGCGCAAGCCUGACGACGCAACGCCGCGUGGAGGAUGAAGAUCUUCGGGUCGUAAACUCCUUUCGAUCGAGACGAACGGCUUCCGUGCUAAUCAACGGAAGAGUGACGGUACCGAGAGAAGAAGCCCCGGCUAACUCCGUGCCAGCAGCCGCGGUAAUACGGGGGGGGCAAGCGUUGUUCGGAAUUACUGGGCGUAAAGGGCUCGUAGGCGGCCAACUAAGUCAGACGUGAAAUCCCUCGGCUUAACCGGGGAACUGCGUCUGAUACUGGAUGGCUUGAGGUUGGGAGAGGGAUGCGGAAUUCCAGGUGUAGCGGUGAAAUGCGUAGAUAUCUGGAGGAACACCGGUGGCGAAGGCGGCAUCCUGGACCAAUUCUGACGCUGAGGAGCGAAAGCCAGGGGAGCAAACGGGAUUAGAUACCCCGGUAGUCCUGGCCCUAAACGAUGAAUGCUUGGUGUGGCGGGUAUCGAUCCCUGCCGUGCCGAAGCUAACGCAUUAAGCAUUCCGCC
This 836-nucleotide ribosomal RNA is filed under the name uncultured Bacillota bacterium. Its description in RNAcentral is "bacterial SSU rRNA". It matches the Rfam family "Bacterial small subunit ribosomal RNA", at positions 58 to 873 of the family's 1533-position model. The record is from RNAcentral. Lineage: Bacteria; Bacillati; Bacillota.